Molecule: unclassified non-coding RNA, 414 nt
Filed under: Hevea brasiliensis (rubber tree)
Lineage: Eukaryota; Viridiplantae; Streptophyta; Magnoliopsida; Malpighiales; Euphorbiaceae
Source: RNAcentral
GAAUUUCUUCCCUUGUCUUCUACAGUGGUGAAAAAGAUAUAUGCCAAUUUGAUGUGAAACAUAGAUCACUAACUAGGAAUUCACACAAAGCAGCUUGCGCUUAGUGUCCACAUCUUCAAUUUUAGAAACUAUAACUAUCAAAUCCUGAGAAAGUUGAUCUCGAUGUGAUGUGAUCCCAUCAAUACUCAGCAAAGAUAACAACCAUGCAAUAUCUACUGCCAUUUAGUAUUGAAGUACCACCAAUCAUACUAUUUUACUGCCAUUUGGAAUUGAGCACAGGCAGUAAAAGAUCCAGGACAAUUAUAUAACUGGUAACGAGAGUUGAAGACCAGAACUGAGAAUUCCAAUUAAUUGCAUAAUAAGAAACAUUAGGGAAGGCUUGGCAACUCACUAAGUAAAUAUAAUUCAAUUUUG